Molecule: non-coding RNA, 670 nt
Organism: Gadus chalcogrammus (walleye pollock)
Lineage: Eukaryota; Metazoa; Chordata; Actinopteri; Gadiformes; Gadidae
Source: the annotation of a RefSeq genome assembly
AUGACCCCCGUCCAGAGGGGAGGUGAUGAAGGCGUGGAUGAGGGUCUCUACCACGGGGGCAGUGAGGGACGGCCCCAGUCUGGACAUGUUUCUGAGGGGGUCCAAUGCCUAUCUGUUGAUGGACUCCAUACUUUUGGUGGAGGCACCCAACUCAUCGUUGACUUGGGAGUGGUGCAGCCCACGCUGAGCGUCCUCCCUCCCUCCAGAGUGGAGCUGGAGCAGGGCAGUGCUACACUAGUGUGUGUGGCCAGUGGGGGCUUCCCCUCAGACUGGAAGCUUGGCUGGAAGGUGGGGGGCAGCAGCAGGUCUGGGGGGGUGUCUGAUAGCCUGGGGGUCCUGGGGAAAGAUGGCCACUACAGCUGGAGCAGCACCUUGACCCUCCCUGCAGACCAGUGGAGGAAGGCGGGCUCAGUGAGCUGUGAGGCCAGUAAGAAUGGCCAGACGCAGCCUGUCACUCAAACCCUGAAUCCUGGAGAGUGUUCAGAGUAGAGAGGCUCCAGCAUGGAAGUACUUGAGAACACAGAUCUCCUCUGACAGGUCUGCUUUAUGUCUUUCUGUCUGAGGUGGCACUGCAGCUUUUGAUGAUUUACAUUAAUAUAACUCGUGUUUGCUUCAUUGACAUUAUGCUCUCUGAUUUUAUCCCCUUGCUUUGUCACAUGUUGAAUCAAAU